UUAAGUUCAGCGGGUAUCCCUACCUGAUCCGAGGUCAACCUGAGAAAAAUGGUUGAGACCGGGCCGGGUGGUCCCUUACAUGCGUGCUUAACAAAGCUCAUUGCAUCUAGGGUCACACUCGACACGGUCAUUAUCUUUGGGACAUGUCCUUUAGCCGGACAGCGAGUCCAAUAGCAAGCCAAGCUUGACGUUUGAUAAUG
Molecule: unclassified non-coding RNA, 200 nt
Filed under: Leotiomycetes sp.
Lineage: Eukaryota; Fungi; Ascomycota; Leotiomycetes
Description: partial internal transcribed spacer 2
Source: RNAcentral